UACGUAGGGGUCUAGCGUUGUCCGGAAUCAUUGGGCGUAAAGAGCUCGUAGGCGGUUCGGCAAGACGGAUGUGAAAUCUCCACGCUCAACGUGGAGGGGCCAUUCGAAACUGCCGUGACUCGAGUCCGGUAGGGGAGUGCGGAAUUCCCGGUGUAGUGGUGAUAUGCGUAGAUAUCGGGAGGAACACCUGUGGCGAAGGCGGCUUUCUGGGCCUUACCUGACGCUGAGACGCGAAAGCGUGGGGAGCGAACCGG
This 254-nucleotide ribosomal RNA is filed under the name uncultured bacterium. RNAcentral describes it as "partial 16S ribosomal RNA". It matches the Rfam family "Bacterial small subunit ribosomal RNA", at positions 524 to 776 of the family's 1533-position model. The record is from RNAcentral.